AUCAGAAUGAAUUAUUCUGCCAAAGAUUUUAAAUGUAAUGAUUUAUUAAUAUUAAUAUGUUAUGGUAUAUAAAUACAUAAAUAUAUAUUGCAUUAAUAAUUAUUGCAAUUUUGAGAGAUUCUCUUUUGGUGUAGAAAAAAUUUUUUAAAACUGUUUUAUGUAUAAGUUUACUUUUCUUAAUCCUGUAUUGGCUUGUGCUACUGAUGAGGACUGUAUAGCAGCUGAAAACAUUUCAGGAUUAAGUCUCUCUCAAUUUAUCUGUAUAAAUAGUGCUAUUUAUUAUGUUUUGAUUUUUCUAAAGGUAGUAAUAUAAAUAUUUAUGAAGUAGUAUAUUUAAUUCUGGAUUUGAUUCCAUAUUUUAUCAGGAAUGAUCCCAACUCAUUGAAUUAAAUCCUUUGACUGACUUUACACACAAAUGUGAAUGGUCUAUUCAUGGUUGGUACUGAUCUACUCCAUCGAUUUGAAAGAUCAUAAGUAUGCAGGUGGAGGAUUAAGUUAUUGUUAUGCCACUUCUGCACACAAAAUAUACUGUGUUUGGCAGCAAGCACUUUGAGUCCAUCAGUGUCUGGUCAACAUCCACGAUGGGUUUAAACAAAAAGAUGGAAUUCAGUGGACAAGGCCUGAAUCUCUCCAGAGAAUGUGUGGGGGAUCCAGACUUGAAUCCAUUUCUCCAAAGUAAUAAGCAAGUGCUGUAUCAUACGGCCAUCCAGCCAACACCAGUGAGAUGGGAAAGUAGCAUAAAUGAGAGAGAGACUAUAUCAAUGGUUUUUGAUGAUAAUUCAUUCCAAACAUUAUUUUCAUAGAAUAUUUUAUUGAAAUUAUUAAAUGAUAGCAAGUAUCAUCUUUUAUUGGGAAUUUUCUAAUUUUUAUGCUGUUUUCAAUUAGAGAUUAUUAAAUAACAGGACUAUUAGAGCCAAUUGUAGAUUGCCUAUACUAUGUUAGAGCAGCCAACAGAUAUUCAAGAUGAAAUGUGGAUGUAUAGAUCUAGAAUUGAAAUCAUAUCCUUUAAACUGUAAAAAACAAACAGUUUUAUUAUGUGAUGUGGUUACUUCUAUAUCAUGAUCAACAUAUUUCUUAUAGACUAAAAACUCUUAAGGUUGCAUUAUGAAAAUUAAUGCUAAUUAUUGAUGUAAUUUUUCUAUUGUUUAUUUAACUAGAUGGUAAAACAGAAUAUUUCCAAUGAAAAAUAAACAUUUUUGGGGUUUGGGAAUGUAUUAUAAUUUUUUCCAUUUAA
This 1234-nucleotide long non-coding RNA is filed under the name Androctonus crassicauda. The record is from RNAcentral. Lineage: Eukaryota; Metazoa; Arthropoda; Arachnida; Scorpiones; Buthidae.